RNAcentral lists this ribosomal RNA (1403 nucleotides) under metagenome. RNAcentral describes it as "SSU rRNA". It matches the Rfam family "Eukaryotic small subunit ribosomal RNA", at positions 3 to 1421 of the family's 1831-position model. The record is from RNAcentral.
CCUGGUUGAUCCUGCCAGUAGUCAUAUGCUUGUCUCAAAGAUUAAGCCAUGCAUGUCUAAGUACAGGCUUUGGUACAGCGAAACCGCGAAUGGCUCAUUAAAUCAGCUAUAAUUUAUUAGAUUGUUCUUUACUUGGAUAACUGUGGGAAUUCUAGAGCUAAUACAUGCACAAAAGCUCCGACCUUCGGGAAGGAGUGCAGUUAUUAGACCAAAACCAGCCGAGCUUCGGCUCGAACUGUUUGGUGACUCUGGAUAACGAUGAGCGGAUCGCAUGGCCUUGAGCCGGCGACGUAUCUUUCAAGUGUCUGACCUAUCAACUGACGAUGGUACGCGAUAUGCCUACCAUGGUGAUAACGGGUAACGGAGAAUAAGGGUUCGACUCCGGAGAGGGAGCCUGAGAAAUGGCUACCACAUCCAAGGAUGGCAGCAGGCGCGCAAAUUACCCACUCUCAGUACGAGGAGGUAGUGACGAAAAAUAACAAUGCGGGACUCAUCAGAGGCCUCGCAAUUGGAAUGAGCGCACUUUAAAUCGUUCGACGAGGAUCUAUUGGAGGGCAAGUCUGGUGCCAGCAGCCGCGGUAAUUCCAGCUCCAAUAGCGUAUAUUAAAGUUGUUGCAGUUAAAAAGCUCGUAGUUGGAUCUGGGGUUCGGGUCGGCGGUUUGCCGCUUCGGCGGCUACUGCCGUGCUCGACUCUUACUAGCCGGUGCGUCUUGCGGUGCUCUUCAUCGAGUGCCGUAGGAGCCUGGCAUGUUUACUUUGAAAAAAUUAGAGUGCUCAAAGCAGGCGAUUCCGCCUGAAUAGUGUUGCAUGGAAUAAUGGAAUAGGACCUCGGUUCUAUUUUGUUGGUUUUCGGAACUUGAGGUAAUGAUUAAGAGGGACGGUCGGGGGCAUUCGUAUUUCGGUGUUAGAGGUGAAAUUCUUGGAUCGCUGAAAGACGGACAAAUGCGAAAGCAUCUGCCAAGAACGUCUCCAUUAAUCAAGAACGAAAGUCAGAGGUUCGAAGACGAUCAGACACCGUCCUAGUUCUGACCAUAAACGAUGCCAACUAGCGAUCCACAGUGGUUGCUAUAAACGGACUCUGCGAGCAGCUUCCGGGAAACCAAAGUGUUUGGGUUCCGGGGGAAGUAUGGUUGCAAAGCUGAAACUUAAAGGAAUUGACGGAAGGGCACCACCAGGAGUGGAGCCUGCGGCUUAAUUUGACUCGACACGGGGAAACUCACCCGGUCCGGACACUGUAAGGAUUGACAGAUCGAGAGCUCUUUCUUGAUUCGGUGGAUGGUGGUGCAUGGCCGUUCUUAGUUGGUGGAGUGAUUUGUCUGGUUAAUUCCGAUAACGAACGAGACUCUAGCCUGCUAACUAGUUGCGCCGUGUUCAUACGCGGCUGUAGACUUCUUAGAGGGACA